ACUCCUACGGGAGGCAGCAGUGGGGAAUAUUGCACAAUGGGCGCAAGCCUGAUGCAGCCAUGCCGCGUGUAUGAAGAAGGCCUUCGGGUUGUAAAGUACUUUCAGCGGGGAGGAAGGCGAUAAGGUUAAUAACCUUGUUGAUUGACGUUACCCGCAGAAGAAGCACCGGCUAACUCCGUGCCAGCAGCCGCGGUAAUACGGAGGGUGCAAGCGUUAAUCGGAAUUACUGGGCGUAAAGCGCACGCAGGCGGUCUGUCAAGUCGGAUGUGAAAUCCCCGGGCUCAACCUGGGAACUGCAUUCGAAACUGGCAGGCUAGAGUCUUGUAGAGGGGGGUAGAAUUCCAGGUGUAGCGGUGAAAUGCGUAGAGAUCUGGAGGAAUACCGGUGGCGAAGGCGGCCCCCUGGACAAAGACUGACGCUCAGGUGCGAAAGCAUGGGGAGCAAACAGGAUUAGAAACCCCGGUAGUCCCAU
RNAcentral lists this ribosomal RNA (472 nucleotides) under uncultured organism. Its description in RNAcentral is "partial 16S ribosomal RNA". It matches the Rfam family "Bacterial small subunit ribosomal RNA", at positions 335 to 798 of the family's 1533-position model. The record is from RNAcentral.